CUAAAAGCCAUCCCAGUUCGGAUUGCAGGCUGAAACCCGCCUGCAUGAAGUUGGAAUCGCUAGUAAUCGCGGAUCAGCAUGCCGCGGUGAAUACGUUCCCGGGCCUUGUACACACCGCCCGUCACACCAUGAGAGUCGGGAACACCCGAAGUCCGUAGUCUAACCGCAAGGGGACGCGGCCGAAGGUGGGUUCGAUAAUUGGGGUGAAGUCGUAACAAGGUAAC
RNAcentral lists this ribosomal RNA (224 nucleotides) under uncultured bacterium. RNAcentral describes it as "partial 16S ribosomal RNA". It matches the Rfam family "Bacterial small subunit ribosomal RNA", at positions 1276 to 1500 of the family's 1533-position model. The record is from RNAcentral.